AGCAGCCGCGGUAAUUCCAGCUCCAAUACCGUAUAUUAAAGUUGUUGCAGUUAAAAAGCUCGUAGUUGAAUUUCGGGGUCAGUGGGUCGGUCGUGCCACUGGUAUGUACUGGCCCUACUGAUUCCUCCUUCUUGAAGAACUGUAAUGCCAUUAAUUUGGUGUUGCAGGGAAACAGGACUGUUACUUUGAAAAAAUUAGAGUGUUUAAAGCAGGCAAUCGCUUGAAUACAUUAGCAUGGAAUAAUGAAAUAGGACGUUCGAUCCUAUUUUGUUGGUUUCUAGGGUUGACGUAAUGAUUAAUAGGGAUAGUUGGGGGCAUUAGUAUUCAAUUGUCAGAGGUGAAAUUCUUGGAUUUAUUGAAGACUAACUACUGCGAAAGCAUUUGCCAAGGAUGUUUUCAUUAAUCAAGAACGAAAGUUAGGGGAUCGAAGACGAUCAGAUACCGUCGUAGUCUUAACCAUAAACUAUGCCGACUAGGGAUCGGAUGAUGUUAAUUUUUUAAUGACUCA
RNAcentral lists this ribosomal RNA (508 nucleotides) under uncultured Sclerocystis. RNAcentral describes it as "SSU rRNA". It matches the Rfam family "Eukaryotic small subunit ribosomal RNA", at positions 569 to 1078 of the family's 1831-position model. Lineage: Eukaryota; Fungi; Glomeromycota; Glomeromycetes; Glomerales; Glomeraceae. The record is from RNAcentral.